Molecule: ribosomal RNA, 497 nt
Filed under: uncultured bacterium
Lineage: Bacteria
Description: partial 16S ribosomal RNA
Rfam family: Bacterial small subunit ribosomal RNA
Source: RNAcentral
GAUGAACGCUGGCGGCGUGCCUAAUACAUGCAAGUCGAGCGAACGGGCGAGAAGCUUGCUUCUCUGAUGUUAGCGGCGGACGGGUGAGUAACACGUGGAUAACAUACCUAUAAGACUGGGAUAACUUCGGGAAACCGGAGAUAAUACCGGAUGAUAUUUUGAACCGCAUGGUUCAAAAGUGAAAGACGGUCUUGCUGUCACUUAUAGAUGGAUCCGCGCUGCAUUAGCUAGUUGGUAAGGUAACGGCUUACCAAGGCAACGAUGCAUAGCCGACCUGAGAGGGUGAUCGGCCACACUGGAACUGAGACACGGUCCAGACUCCUACGGGAGGCAGCAGUAGGGAAUCUUCCGCAAUGGGCGAAAGCCUGACGGAGCAACGCCGCGUGAGUGAUGAAGGUCUUCGGAUCGUAAAACUCUGUUAUUAGGGAAGAACAUAUGUGUAAGUAACUGUGCACAUCUUGACGGUACCUAAUCAGAAAGCCACGGCUAACUACGUG